Molecule: ribosomal RNA, 384 nt
Filed under: uncultured eukaryote
Lineage: Eukaryota
Description: partial 18S ribosomal RNA
Rfam family: Eukaryotic small subunit ribosomal RNA
Source: RNAcentral
CAAUAGCGUAUAUUAAAGUUGUUGCGGUUAAAAAGCUCGUAGUUGGAUCUCGGCGAGCAGAGGGCGGUUCGUUAUUUGACGCUACUACCCUAUUUGCUCGUGUUUUUGUCGGAGGUCUCUUGGUGCUCUUAACCGAGCGUCAAGUGAUGCCGGCAGGUUUACUUUGAAAAAAUUAGAGUGCUCAAAGCAGGCUUUACACGCUUGAAUAUUCGUGCAUGGAAUAAUAGAAUAGGACGUCGUUUCUAUUUUGUUGGUUUUCGGAAAUCGACGUAAUGAUUAAUAGGGACAGUCGGGGGCAUUAGUAUUCCAACGACAGAGGUGAAAUUCUUGGACCGUUGGAAGACUAACUACUGCGAAAGCAUUUGCCAAGAAUGUUUUCAUUAA